CCAGCCAGCGGGAUAUUUCCCAAAGUUAAGUCUGAUGAAGUAUAAAUUGGUAUUAACUUUUAGAUCUGUAUUUUGUUCAACAAAACAAAAAAAAUACUUCUGACAUCCUUACUUCAGCUACAAUCAAGCUGCAAUGAAACCUCCAGUCAGCGGACUUUUUCUCUCAAUGACAUUCUUUUGUAACUUUGACACUAAAAUAAUAAAAAAUAACCUAUUUACGACUAUAAUUUCACUUAAAUUACCUAUUCGUACAUCUAGUGCUUAAAUUAAAAAGUAUAGAAUUUGAAAGAUAUUAUGUGAGUAGAAUAUAAAAAAAAACUAUGUAUCAGGUACAAAUUGAAGCUGUGAAAGAAAAAGUUCGCUGACUAGAUGUUUCAUUGCAGCUUGAUUGUAGCUGAAGUAAGGUCGUCAGAAGUAGUUUUUUUGUUUUGUUGAACAGAAUAAAUACAGAUCUAAAAGUUAAUACCAAUUUAUACUUCAUCAGACUUAACUUUGGGAAAUAUCCCGCUGACUGGAGGUUUCAUUGCAGCUUGAUUGUAGCUGAAGUAAGGACGUCAGAAGUAUUUUUUUUGUUUUGUUGAACAGAAUAAAUACAGAUCUAAAAGUUAAUACCAAUUUAUACUUCAUCAGACUUAACUUUGGGAAAUAUCCCGCUGGCUGGAGGUCGGUUAGAAAACUUUGUAUUUCCGUUUUUUUAACGGAACAAAUUCUGUUUUCAGGAUAAUUCAGUAGAACAAAUUCAGAUCUAAUUCUCUGCAUCACUCUUAUGUCUCCCAGACAGGGGAUCCCGCUGAGUGUAGACACAUAAAAACUAAGAAGCUCAAAUGUAGGCGGCAGCACUGUUGAGUGUCUCUAAAUUUGGACAGUUCUCCUAUAUUAGCCCUGAUUUCGUUUCCUUUCCUUUUCGGCGGAUAAGAAAAUGACAGGUAUAAAUUAAAAUAAAAUUAGAUGGUAUCUACAGGAAUUAGCACCACUAUCCAGCUAAAAUUCGUGAUAAACUGAUAUAAAAUGUAGAGCAACGUGGAGUGUAGUUACGAAAAGAAAGCAGCCAUCAAUUGGAAAAUGGCAGGUUUGAUUGAAAAUAAGAUUUUCUGAGUUUUCUUCUUGUACCGAUCUUUAGGGAAUAAAUAUAACAUUAUGAUAUUGCAGUUAAACGCUGCGCAAAGGAUUAUAGUGUAAAAAUAUAACCAAAACAAUGCUUGUUUUCUUUGUCAAAAUUUAAGGACACUCUACAGUAGCGACAUCUGAUGGGAGAAAUAGGCAAUUGUAUCCUCAUAGCGACCGCUUUUUAAAAAAAUAAGUAAUAAACAUAUAUGUACGUUUGGUAUUGGUUUAUAUUCACAUACUGCCAUAAGUUAAUUAAUUUUCUUUAAAUUCCCAGUGCAUAGUGCCUCGUAGUUGGUACCUGUUGAAUAUACCUACGGGUAAUGAAGCCUAGUAAAUGUUAGCCGACCUUAUAAAGUAAUAGUUAGUAAGCCAUCGAAAACGUUUUUCGGUCGCUACCUAUACGUAAUAAUCCCAUUUCAAGCCUUUAGGUAUUUCUGUUUCAUAUAUCGAAUACGUAAAUUAUCUUAGUGGGUACUGAUUAUUAAAAUACUCUUAGUUGCAUUUUGGCAGUUAUUGAUCAAAACCAACCUAGGUCAGGAUAGUGACUCGGUUAAAGAUAAAUUAUAAAAAUCUAACCUAGAUGAUUAGACCAAUCUCAUUUUUCUUUUUGACUGAUUUACAAAUAAUAAAUUAGAUAACAUAGAGUACGACGUUUAACCACGUGCGUAUUUCUAUGCAAUUCCAUAGAACUGUAUCGGUUUGACGUUUCCUAAAAGUAUCUCAUUUGACUAGGUUGUUGCCUAUUUGUACGAAUCUUUCCAUUUUGUUGUAUCUUUUGUACUUAAGCCUUUAUAAGUCAUUGUUUUUAGUAAUUUCCUUGCGCUGUAAUUGUAAUACAAUGUUGAAUCGAAUACUCAAAUUGUACUUAUAUUAAAAUUAGAAAUAAGUAUUUACUGUAAGUAUGUGAUGUAUAUAUGUGAAAGUUUGUUCUUUAUUUAAUGCUAUUAUUAGUCACAAAGUAUAAUAGGAAUGUAGAUGUCCUGGCGUUAGUUAUCAUGUUGCAGUCAAUUUAUUUAACAUAAUCAUUUAUUAGUACUAGGUUACGAUUCUUAAUAUUUAAGAAUAACUGUAAUGAAAUAGCUUUUACGGAUAAAUUAUAUAUUUUUAUUGUUUUUUAGCAAUCAGAUUUAAUUAAUCACCAGUUUUGCCUCAAAUAGAAAUAAAAUGACUAGAUUUAAAUAACCAAGAUUGUAAAUGACGUAGGUGCGUAUAUAUAUUGUCCAUUUUAUUUUUAUUCAGAGUUCUUUUUUUACAUUUAUCAGUUUUGGGACGAAUGUUACUGUUGUACAUUUGAUAGUAUGAGAAUAUACCUACCUACAUUUGUAUUUUUAAAUUUUUAAACAGGCGUAGAGAAUGUUAAAGAGCAGGUGUUUUAAUUAUUUGAAAUGUCUUUGUUACUGAAUGUAAAUAACUCAUAACAUGGUAACAUUACCCACAUUGUGCAUUAAAAAGAGGUUUUCAUAAUAUCAAAAAUAGAUCAGCAGCAAAGUCCUCUAUCCAUUUUACUCUACUGCCAGUGCCACUAACAUAAUCAUCUCGUAAUAGUGAUGCACACAUAUGUGUUUUAUGUGCUUGGAACAUUAUUGACAGUUAGCAGUUUUUAGGACUCUACUAGGUAAUUAGAUUGCAGUAGAUACCUACCUACGCUACGUAAAGUUUAAUAUACUAAUUUUACCAAAGUACAAUACCUACCUAAUAGUUCUAGCUUAUCUUAUACAUAUAUUGCCAGUUAUGUUCCUUGUAUGAAUUAAACAAAUUAUAUUUAAUGUGAUAUCUUGAUUAUGGUUGGCGCUGGUAAAUAGAGAGCCUUGGACAUAAAAUUCUUAAGAAAUGUUUUAUAUUUUUAUGUAAGUACCUACCUUUUAUUAUAUGUUUAUUUCAUGUAAAUAGAAGUAGAUUGUAAACGUAUUUGUUAUGUUACAAGAUACAUUGAGUUGGCCAUAAGGCGUAGAGGCGUAUGCCUAUGCGAAUGUCAUAGUUAAUGCCAUGCAUUCGAAAGUUAAGCUGGGGUUGUAUAAACACUGAUUCUUUAUUGUAUUUUUUCUAUUUGAUUAUAACUGCUGUUAUUUUAAGAGCGGUUUUACACUAACAGGCUUUUGUAUACUUAUACCUCAUCAACGAUCAUGUGUUUGUUUCUUGUUGGUCAGCACUAUCUAGACAAGUAACUUUGUCGGGCUAACUUCUAUGCUCACUGAAGUAGCGGGGUAGUGCUUUAGUGUGAAACCACCCUUUGAAUAAGUAUCACGGAUAAAGUCGUCUGGUGACGAGCGGGCUUAGACCAGAGUCAGUAGGUCUAUACUUUACUGGUGGAGAACUGAGAUCUGACAAAUAUCAAAAUAUAAUUAUUUUUCGUAACAUUAUCAACAAAAACGUUUUAAAAAGUUAACAUUACGUUGUUUUAUGUUAUAAAAUGUGACCAUCGACAAGUUUUAUCUUAGAUAAUUAAUCAUUUAACUUAGACUUUCAACGGAUAUCAGUUGUCCACCGAGUUACAGAAUACGCCUACUGAUCUCAGAACGUUCUGAGGUGUAUAUAAAAUAGGUGCCAUGUAAGAAUGUAAAAAACAUAACAGAUUAUGUGAUUAUUCUAAUACUAUACUCAGUACAAUAAUGAUUCUGCCAAUAUGUAACUUAUUCUGUGUUAGAUGUCUGUCUAUACAUAAUAAUAUGUGUAACCAUAGAAAAUACGAAAACAGAUUUUAAAUACUUACUGUAAUUGUAAAAAUAUUUUUGAAAACUGUGUAGUCAGUAACAAAAGUUGUCGAAAAGUUUUAAAGCUUAUCAUAAGCAAGGUAUUAAGAUUUGAAGUAAGUACUUAGUUCGACUUCUUUUGUAGCUGACGAUAUUAUGUAAAAAGCGUUUGAUUGGGUCGUUAUAAUAUAUUAGAAUGAUUGCUUUCCCUGUAAGUGUCCCGUUGGGUAAAGAUGCCCGCCGUCUAGGUUGUGAAAAAGUUAUCAAAUGAGUCAGGGCGUCAUCCCAAAAUAAAUCUAUCAGGAUGUAUUUAUUUCACUUACAUUAAUUCAUAAAAUGUGACGCUUUGCUGCAAUAGGUACUGUGCCGUCGUUGGAGUUUACGAACCUGAAGGCAAACGGAACUUUUCGCUCUACCAAACAUCAAGUCGUCUGUUCGUUGGUAUAUCACUUGGACCGAGUAGUUUAAAGGACGCAAAUGAAGUAAAUAAUACUUUUUAUGACGUGACUUAUUGUAGAUUUGCCGCAAAUGGUAUAAACUACAUGUCCGGAGUGGCAUUAACUACUUAUAGAUUUACAAUAUCCAAUAUAUUACUUAAAACCCUAUAACCGAGACGUAUUUUUAGAUAGGGAAUGUAUUGAAUCAAAGAUCUUUAAAGUCUACUGUGGACAUUUUUAAAAUGCUGACUUCAAAUACAGCGACUGUUGCCGCCUUAGCCACUACGGCCCGUGGGACUCCUUGUAAGGAAAUCAGUUUGGUGAACUAGUUUGGACACUGGGAGCAGGGCAGCUAGGUUAGAUAGCUAUAAUCAUAUUCUGCAAGUGUCCGAAUAGCUCGUGACAGUUUAAAAACGUCCAAGAUCAUAUACUCGUAACCAACGACGGAAAUUGUGUUUUUGUACCAGAAUUUCACUACUUGAAUAGUUAUUUAUUAUGUAAAUCAAAAGGUUAGGGGAAGGGGGCCUAAAGCGAGCACCCAGCCUAAAGCGAGCACCGAUCGUAAAACUUACCUAUAGAAACUUACCGCGGCCCGCGUCCCAGUGGCGUUACCCCCCUCCCCGCGCCAAUGCGCGGCAGUCGUGAUUUCACAGUGACGUGAAUAACACAGGUUGUUCGCGCCAAAAACGAUUUUCGUCAUUUUUAUGCAAAUAAACGAAGAUGGUGAAUAAAUAUAAACGCAAAACACAGCAAUGUUCUUAGACUGAAAGCACAAUGAAGAAAGCAAUACAGGAGGUGGUAGAAAUGAAAAAGGCUAUAAAAACUACAGCUACAAAGUAUUGUAUCCCGCGAGCUACUUUACAGCGACACCUGAAAACAGGUUCUACCAAGAAAAAGUUAGGAAGUUUUACCAGUCUUCAGCUCAGAACAAGAGCUUGAAUUGUUAAAUUACGUAUUUGAAAUGGACAGUGUGUUUUAUGGUUUAUCGAAAGAAGAAUUGAUUUUUCACUUAAUAAAGUGCACA
This is a long non-coding RNA of Pectinophora gossypiella (pink bollworm), 5258 nucleotides long. RefSeq lists it as uncharacterized. The transcript has 2 exons. Lineage: Eukaryota; Metazoa; Arthropoda; Insecta; Lepidoptera; Gelechiidae. The record is from RefSeq and is a predicted model, not a curated record.